UUAGCCUCUCCUUGUAUGUAAGCCAUUCCAUUCCCUUGAUCAUCUUUUAUGCACCUUCCAUGAACCUUUUUCAGUUCCACUAUAUCCUCUCUGAGAUGGGGCAACCAGAACUAUUCAUAAUAUUCAAGGUGUGGGCUCACCAUGGAUUUUAUAUAGUGGCAUUAUGACAUUUUCUGUCUUAACUUUCUAUCCCUUUCCUAAUGAUUAGCCUUUUUGACUGCUGCUGCACAUUGAACUGAAGUUCAGAGAAUUAUCCACCGGGACUGCAAGAUCUUUCGUGAGAGUUGCUGAUCCAUGAGUGGACCUUCCCUCAGGGGGCCUUCUCUUAUUAGGGGGCUUACAAAGGCAGCAAAGCAGCCAGGCCGCAACACAGGCGCAGGGGCUGUUUCCUUUGUGUUUAUUUUCAUGUUUACUGUAUUUAUUGAUGAUGUUGAUGCUGUUGUGCUUAUGGAACAUUUAAAGGACUUGGAACCUAGCAGAAGGGACUGGCUCUGACUGACUCUGUGGAACUUUUGCGACACAGCACCUUUAUAAGGGCUGCACGCCUGUCAGCAGUUGCUGUUCGUUAGAGAGGCAGCUGGUAACAGUCUAUCUGCACGGGUUUCCUUCACCACAGAUCAUCGUCAUCGCCAAUCCUCACCAUUGAUCUGAGUCCUCUUAUGCCUGAGACUUACCUGUCGUGUGUGACCCAGGGAACCUACCAUUUGUUCCUGUGCUCCUGAUCUGCUGAAGGUCCUGUGCUCCUCCUGUCCCUGGCAACCACUGGAAGCAGUGGUAGGUCCAGGAUCCACCUAGCCCAGCUGCAGAUGACUGCUUAGGUCCAAAAGCUGCUGUGUGCAUGCAUCAUUAUCCAGUGGGUCCAUUGGGGACCUGCAAGUACAAACUUUUGGCUAUUGUCUAGGGUUGUUUGGAGACCAGGCUUCAGGCCCACUGUUGGGGCAAACCACUGAGUUAUUUUCCCUUUCCCCCUUGCAUUCCCUGGUAUUGUUAAAUUCCCUAAAUAAACCCUGUUUGUUUUGAAAGAUA
Chelonia mydas (Green sea turtle) is the source of this 1026-nucleotide long non-coding RNA. RefSeq lists it as uncharacterized. Lineage: Eukaryota; Metazoa; Chordata; Testudines; Cheloniidae. The transcript is spliced from 2 exons. The record is from RefSeq and is a predicted model, not a curated record.